GCGCAUCUGUGCAUGCAGCAUAUCAAUAAGCGGAGGAAAAGAAACUAACAAGGAUUCCCUUAGUAACGGCGAGUGAAGCGGGAAGAGCUCAAAUUUGAAAUCUUCAAGGUUUUACCUUGACGAAUUGUAGUUUAAAGAAGUGUUUUCUGUUGAAGUUUUGGUAAAAGUUCUUUGGAAUAGGACAUCAUAGAGGGUGAGAAUCCCGUAUUUGACCAUUAUUUUCAGCUGUGUGAUACACUUUCAAAGAGUCGGAUUGUUUGGGAAUGCAGUCCAAAAUGGGUGGUAAAUUUCAUCUAAAGCUAAAUAUUGGCGAGAGACCGAUAGCGAACAAGUACCGUGAGGGAAAGAUGAAAAGAACUUUGAAAAGAGAGUUAAACAGUACGUGAAAUUGUCAAAAGGGAAGCGUUUGACACCAGUGUUGUUUUCUCGAAAAUCAAUUAAAAAGAGUUUAGAUUUUGUUGUGUAUUGACCUUAACAGCUUGCAUCUCAAUUUUCUUGCUUUUUUUAAUGCACUUUUCGUUUAACAAGUCAACAUCAGUUUCUUUUGUUGUAAAAAGGUCAUUGGAAGGUGGCUUUCUUUUCGGAGAAAGUGUUUAUAGCCUUUGACUCCUGCAAUCGGAGAGACUGAGGUCUGCAGCGUAGAUCCUUCGGGGUUAGAUACAUUUGUGCUAAGUUAUAGCUUUUUAUAGACAACUUGUUGACUAUGAUUAGUCUUGUAGCUUACUCGCUUAUGCUAUUUUACCUACGCUUAGGAUGUUGAACUCUAUCACACACAG
This 776-nucleotide ribosomal RNA is filed under the name uncultured Neocallimastigales. RNAcentral describes it as "partial large subunit ribosomal RNA". It matches the Rfam family "Eukaryotic large subunit ribosomal RNA", at positions 24 to 621 of the family's 3401-position model. The record is from RNAcentral. Lineage: Eukaryota; Fungi; Neocallimastigomycota; Neocallimastigomycetes; Neocallimastigales.